UGCAAGGUAUAGACAGCCUGCUCACAUGGGCC
This 32-nucleotide non-coding RNA is filed under the name Homo sapiens (human). The record is from RNAcentral. Lineage: Eukaryota; Metazoa; Chordata; Mammalia; Primates; Hominidae.